RNAcentral lists this ribosomal RNA (603 nucleotides) under Trichosporon asteroides. Its description in RNAcentral is "partial large subunit ribosomal RNA". It matches the Rfam family "Eukaryotic large subunit ribosomal RNA", at positions 46 to 638 of the family's 3401-position model. The record is from RNAcentral. Lineage: Eukaryota; Fungi; Basidiomycota; Tremellomycetes; Trichosporonales; Trichosporonaceae.
AAAAGCGGAGCAAAAGAAACUAACAAGGAUUCCCCUAGUAACGGCGAGUGAAGCGGGAAGAGCUCAAAUUUGAAAUCUGGCAGUCUUCGAUUGUCCGAGUUGUAAUCUAUAGAGGCGUUUUCCGUGCCGGACCGUGUCCAAGUCUCCUGGAAAGGAGUAUCAAAGAGGGUGAUAAUCCCGUACUUAACACGACCACCGGUGCUCUGUGAUACGUCUUCUACGAGUCGAGUUGUUUGGGAAUGCAGCUCAAAAUGGGUGGUGAAUUCCAUCUAAAGCUAAAUAUUGGCGAGAGACCGAUAGCGAACAAGUACCGUGAGGGAAAGAUGAAAAGCACUUUGGAAAGAGAGUUAAACAGUACGUGAAAUUGUUGAAAGGGAAACGAUUGAAGUCAGUCGUGUUCUUUGGAUUCAGCCAGUUCUGCUGGUCUACUUCCUUGGAACGGGUCAACAUCAGUUUUGUCCGGUGGAUAAAGGUAGUAGGAAUGUGACUUCUCCGGAAGUGUUAUAGCCUAUUAUCACAUACACUGGGUGAGACUGAGGACUGCAGCUCGCCUUUAUGGCCGGUCUUCGGACACGUUCGAGCUUAGGAUGUGACAUAAGUCCC